Oryza barthii is the source of this 203-nucleotide non-coding RNA. NCBI's taxonomy places the organism in Eukaryota, Viridiplantae, Streptophyta, Magnoliopsida, Poales, Poaceae. The record is from Rfam.
AAUAAGUAUAGUUUUGUACUAUUCAUGUCCAACGUUUGACGUUUCGUCUUAUUUGAAAACUUUUUAUGAUUAAUAUUUUAUUGUUAUUAGAUGAUAAAACAUGAUUAAUAUUUUAUACGUGACUUGUCUUUUUAGUUUUUUUAUAAUUUUUUUAAAUAAGACGGACUGUCAGGUUAGACACGAUAUAUACGGUUGCACUUGUA